GCUGGGCAUGGUGGCACAUGCCUGUAAUCCCAGCUACUUGGGAGGCUGAGGCAGGAGGAUUGCUUGAACCCAGGAGGCAGAGGUUGCAGUGAGACAAGAUUGCAUCACUGGACUCCAGCCUGGACAACAGAGCAAGACCCUGUCUCAA
RNAcentral lists this non-coding RNA (148 nucleotides) under Gorilla gorilla gorilla (western lowland gorilla). The record is from Rfam by way of RNAcentral. Lineage: Eukaryota; Metazoa; Chordata; Mammalia; Primates; Hominidae.